AUGUAUUCCGUUGAGCGAGCAAUGGCCAAAGCUGCCGCAUCCCUUCUCCCGGGUCUUCUCCCGACCCCGCCGACAAUGCCCUGCCUCAUCAUCCUGCCGUCUUCGUUCGCCUCCAAGCCCAAGCCCGGCCGCGCCGACUCCGUCGAGAGGUGGGACGCGCACAAGAAGGACAAGAAGCCCAAGACCCCAGCCUCGUCGUGCUGCAGCAGCUCAAGUCCCAGGCGCGCCUCCUCCUGCGAGCGUUGGAACAUAAACAAGCAGAUCUCCGGCAGCAGCUGCACGUCCUCGUCGUCUUCGUCAAGCCGGCGAAGCAGCACGAGCCCGUGCGGGAGGUGGGAUAGCAACAAGCAGCUGCCGCCCAGCCGUGCGACCUCCGCUGAUCGCUGGGACAUGCACAAGAAGCCUUGCCCCGCACAAACUGCCGCCAUGAGCCGGAGCCGGACAGGCGACAAAGAGGACCAGGGGGAAGACACAACGGCGAUGGUUCGGAAACCGACAGCGCCGCGCAUUGGCCCCAUGUUCUCUGGCCCGAGCUUCGUCGCCUCGCCUGACCCGAGCAUGCUUCCAAUGCCGACCUUCUUUCGCUCCCGGAACCCGGUAGUGCUUCCCGUACAAGCCCUCUAG
RNAcentral lists this ribosomal RNA (624 nucleotides) under Triticum aestivum (bread wheat). Its description in RNAcentral is "partial small subunit ribosomal RNA". Lineage: Eukaryota; Viridiplantae; Streptophyta; Magnoliopsida; Poales; Poaceae. The record is from RNAcentral.